RNAcentral lists this long non-coding RNA (1083 nucleotides) under Marmota monax (woodchuck). Lineage: Eukaryota; Metazoa; Chordata; Mammalia; Rodentia; Sciuridae. The record is from RNAcentral.
AUAAUGACAUGUAUCCACGGUUACAAUUCAUCCACAGUAUUUUCACUGCCCUAAAAAUUCUCUGUGCUCCACCUAUUCUCCCUCUCUACCCCGGUCCUUGGCAACUGCUGAUCUUUUUCUUGCCUCCUUCAUUCCAAAGUGAUUUUGAUGUCUGCCACCAAUGAUAUAGAAGGAUUUCGCUUUGCUCUGAACAUUUUCCUCUAGAAGCUUUAUAGUUUUAACUUUGAUGUUUAGACUUGCCAUCUAUCUCAAAUUAAUUCUUGUGCAUAAUUUGAAAAAAGGGGUCAAGGUUAUUUUUGAUGUAGAUAUCUAGUUUCCCCACUUCCGUUUGUUGGAAACAUUUACCUUUCCUCCAUUAAAUUCCUUUGACAAGUGAGAUGAAAUCUUAAGAGUGGUUUUGAUUUGCAUUUCUCUAAUUGCUAGAGAUGAUGAACAUUUUUUUCAUAUAUUUGUUGAUUGAUUCUAUAUCCUCUUGUGGGAAGUGUCUGUUCAGGUCCUUGGCUGAUUUGUUGAUUGGGUUAUUUGUGUUUUUGGUGCUUAGCUUUUUGAGUUCUUUGUAUAUCCUAGAGAUUAGUGCUCUAUCUGAUGUGUGAGGGGUAAAAAAUUUGCUCCUAGGAUAUAGGCUGUCUGUUCACCUCACAGAUUGUUUCUUUUGCUGAGAAGAAACUUUUUAGUUUGAUUCCAUCCCAUUUAUUGAUUCUUGGUUUUAAUUCUUGUGCUAUAUGAGUCUUAUUAAGGAAUUUAGGGCCUAAUCCCACAUGAUGAAGAUUUCAUUUCACUCCAGUCAGAAUGGCAGUUAUUAUGAAGAUAAACAACAAUAAGUGUUGGCGAGGAUGUGGGGAGAAAGGUACACUCAUACAUUGCUGGUGGGACUGCAAAUUGGUACAGACAAUAUGGAAAGCAGUAUGGAGAUUCCUUGGAAAUCUGGAAAUGGAACCACCAUUUGACCCAGCUAUCCCUCUCCUACCCAAAAGACUUAAAAACAGCAUACUACAGGGACACAGCCACAUCAAUGUUUAUAGCAGUACAAUUCACAAUAGCUAAACUGUGGAGCCAACCUAGAUGCCCUUCAGUGGAUGAAUG